GCAAGUCGAACGGUGAAAGAGGAGCUUGCUCCUCUGGAUCAGUGGCGAACGGGUGAGUAACACGUGAGUAACCUGCCCCAGACUCUGGGAUAAGCACUGGAAACGGUGUCUAAUACCGGAUACGAGCUUCAGCCGCAUGGCUAGGAGCUGGAAAGAAUUUCGGUCUGGGAUGGACUCGCGGCCUAUCAGCUAGUUGGUGAGGUAACGGCCCACCAAGGCGACGACGGGUAGCCGGCCUGAGAGGGUGACCGGCCACACUGGGACUGAGACACGGCCCAGACUCCUACGGGAGGCAGCAGUGGGGAAUAUUGCACAAUGGGCGCAAGCCUGAUGCAGCAACGCCGCGUGAGGGACGACGGCCUUCGGGUUGUAAACCUCUUUUAGUAGGGAAGAAGCGAAAGUGACGGUACCUGCAGAAAAAGCACCGGCUAACUACGUGCCAGCAGCCGCGGUAAUACGUAGGGUGCAAGCGUUAUCCGGAAUUAUUGGGCGUAAAGAGCUCGUAGGCGGUUUGUCGCGUCUGCUGUGAAAACUGGGGGCUCAACCCCCAGCCUGCAGUGGGUACGGGCAGACUAGAGUGCGGUAGGGGAGAUUGGAAUUCCUGGUGUAGCGGUGGAAUGCGCAGAUAUCAGGAGGAACACCGAUGGCGAAGGCAGAUCUCUGGGCCGUAACUGACGCUGAGGAGCGAAAGCAUGGGGAGCGAACAGGAUUAGAUACCCUGGUAGUCCAUGCCGUAAACGUUGGGAACUAGAUGUAG
RNAcentral lists this ribosomal RNA (757 nucleotides) under uncultured microorganism. Its description in RNAcentral is "bacterial SSU rRNA". It matches the Rfam family "Bacterial small subunit ribosomal RNA", at positions 57 to 825 of the family's 1533-position model. The record is from RNAcentral.